UUUUAUGGAGAGUUUGAUCCUGGCUCAGGAUGAACGCUGGCGGCGUGCCUAAUACAUGCAAGUCGAGCGAACAGACGAGGAGCUUGCUCCUCUGACGUUAGCGGCGGACGGGUGAGUAACACGUGGAUAACCUACCUAUAAGACUGGGAUAACUUCGGGAAACCGGAGCUAAUACCGGAUAAUAUAUUGAACCGCAUGGUUCAAUAGUGAAAGACGGUUUUGCUGUCACUUAUAGAUGGAUCCGCGCCGCAUUAGCUAGUUGGUAAGGUAACGGCUUACCAAGGCAACGAUGCGUAGCCGACCUGAGAGGGUGAUCGGCCACACUGGAACUGAGACACGGUCCAGACUCCUACGGGAGGCAGCAGUAGGGAAUCUUCCGCAAUGGGCGAAAGCCUGACGGAGCAACGCCGCGUGAGUGAUGAAGGUCUUCGGAUCG
RNAcentral lists this ribosomal RNA (436 nucleotides) under Staphylococcus epidermidis. RNAcentral's name for it is "bacterial SSU rRNA". It matches the Rfam family "Bacterial small subunit ribosomal RNA", at positions 1 to 425 of the family's 1533-position model. The record is from RNAcentral. Lineage: Bacteria; Bacillati; Bacillota; Bacilli; Caryophanales; Staphylococcaceae.